CUACGGGCGGCUCCAGUGGGGAAUAUUGCACAAUGGGGGAAACCCUGAUGCAGCAACGCCGCGUGGAGGAUGACACAUUUCGGUGCGUAAACUCCUUUUAUAGGUCAAGAUAAUGACGGUAGCCUAUGAAUAAGCGCCGGCUAACUCCGUGCCAGCAGCCGCGGUAAUACGGAGGGCGCAAGCGUUACUCGGAAUCACUGGGCGUAAAGAGCAUGUAGGCGGGUUAAUAAGUCAGAAGUGAAAUCCAAUAGCUCAACUAUUGAACUGCUUUUGAAACUGUUAACCUAGAGUGUGGGAGAGGUAGAUGGAAUUUCUGGUGUAGGGGUAAAAUCCGUAGAGAUCAGAAGGAAUACCGAUUGCGAAGGCGAUCUACUGGAACAUUACUGACGCUGAGAUGCGAAAGCGUGGGGAGCAAACAGGAUUAAUACCCGAGUAGUC
RNAcentral lists this ribosomal RNA (438 nucleotides) under uncultured bacterium. RNAcentral describes it as "partial 16S ribosomal RNA". It matches the Rfam family "Bacterial small subunit ribosomal RNA", at positions 339 to 795 of the family's 1533-position model. The record is from RNAcentral.